Molecule: ribosomal RNA, 272 nt
Filed under: Vibrio sp. HR09-96
Lineage: Bacteria; Pseudomonadati; Pseudomonadota; Gammaproteobacteria; Vibrionales; Vibrionaceae
Description: partial 16S ribosomal RNA
Rfam family: Bacterial small subunit ribosomal RNA
Source: RNAcentral
CAUUGGAAACGAUGGCUAAUACCGCAUAAUGCCUUCGGNCCAAAGAGGGGGACCUUCGNCCCCUCUCGCGUCAGGAUAUGCCCAGGUGGGAUUAGCUAGUUGGUGAGGUAAUGGCUCACCAAGGCGACGAUCCCUAGCUGGUCUGAGAGGAUGAUCAGCCACACUGGAACUGAGACACGGUCCAGACUCCUACGGGAGGCAGCAGUGGGGAAUAUUGCACAAUGGGCGCAAGCCUGAUGCAGCCAUGCCGCGUGUGUGAAGAAGGNCUUCGG